Non-coding RNA from Cinara cedri, 203 nucleotides. The record is from the annotation of a GenBank genome assembly. NCBI's taxonomy places the organism in Eukaryota, Metazoa, Arthropoda, Insecta, Hemiptera, Aphididae.
AAGAUUAAUUAUUGCUAACGAAAUACGGUCUGAGUGGAGAUCGGUUACACAUGUUUUGAAAGGCUGUAACAUUUACGAUUUGAAAAUAAUACGUUUCUUAAAUUGUCUAGUUUUUCCUACGUUUAUUCCCAUUUAUUAUGAAAACUCCUAGAAAAAUCAAAAAAUGAUCUUUUUAAAGUACCUCCGAAGUUAUCCCAGCAAAU